CGCAAGGGAUAGAGUCCUACUCAUUUGGGACUCUAGGGUUCAAACAAUUGGAUUUCUUUUAAACCCAAUCCAAUUAGACCCAAAUAAAAUAUGAUGAACUUAAUCUAAUUAGGAUCUUAUAAUCUCAAAUAAAUUUAAUCAAAUUAAUAAAUUAAUUGAGCCAUAGAUCCGAUCAAAUCAGGAUCAUUUCUUCCUUACUGAUUAGGU
Molecule: long non-coding RNA, 207 nt
Filed under: Elaeis guineensis (African oil palm)
Lineage: Eukaryota; Viridiplantae; Streptophyta; Magnoliopsida; Arecales; Arecaceae
Description: long non-coding RNA (EGUI_LNC052524)
Source: RNAcentral